AGAUAUCUCUCAACAUCCCUACUAUUAUACUUAAUAAUUUUAAAGAAUAAAUAAUUUCAUAAAUUUUAUAUUCAUGGGAUCCCACAUUUCGAUUGUGAGUGCUAUGUCAACCGCCGUGUCAACGGCUAUGUUUAUUUGGCUUUUUCCUUAUUGGUUAGACAAAAGGCGUCUUCAUAUUACAGUUUUAAAGAAAGAAUAUUUCUCGUGUUUUCUCUAUCCUCGUAUCAGAGCAAUUGACUCACGUCAAUGGGGAAAGAUCUAUUGGAACCACCGUUGAUCUCACGACGAAUGAGGCAGAAAUUGCAAUAGGAAGCUUUGCAGUUCCUUCGAUUGCAAUCUCUACUGGUGAUAGAGCUUCGAUCCUAUCAUCUUCGCAGAUCUCUCUCGCUGUAACCCUAAUUCCUGUUGCAAUGAAAGUAACAUGGAACAGUUACGAGUUUUGGAGAUCUCAGAUUCUUCCCAUUGUUCGAGUGUAUGAUCUCGAAGGAUUUCUAGACGGUACGAAAACUAAGCCUAAAAAUCUAUGUGAGGGCUCGAUGGAGAAGAAUCCGAUCGCUAAGCCUGCGGUGAUCGCAACUCAAAUCAAUCCUGAAUUUUUGGUUUCGAUGCGCAUCGUUCAACAGAUAUGAGUUAGUUACUUGCUUCCAUUUCCGAAUCUACUUUUGGUCAUGUUGUACGAUGUAGAUCAUCGUUGCUUUUUCUUC
RNAcentral lists this long non-coding RNA (704 nucleotides) under Olea europaea (common olive). RNAcentral's name for it is "long non-coding RNA (OEUR_LNC015584)". Lineage: Eukaryota; Viridiplantae; Streptophyta; Magnoliopsida; Lamiales; Oleaceae. The record is from RNAcentral.